This 513-nucleotide ribosomal RNA is filed under the name Triticum aestivum (bread wheat). RNAcentral's name for it is "partial small subunit ribosomal RNA". The record is from RNAcentral. Lineage: Eukaryota; Viridiplantae; Streptophyta; Magnoliopsida; Poales; Poaceae.
UAUGGACUUGACUCUGAGAUAGUAGCUUCUUUUUGUGAAUCUUUUGCUGCUCAUGUUGAUCUCCCUAAGGAGAAGUGGUUUAAAUAUAAUCCUCCCGUUGAAGUAAAAGUAGUUGCACCUAUUAAAGUUGAAGAAAAGACUAUCACUUAUAAUGAUCCUAUUGUUCCUACUGCUUAUGUUGAGAAACCACCUUUCCUUGUUAGAAUAAAGGAUCAUGCUAAAGCUUCAACUGUGUUCAAUAAAAGUAAUAUUAGGACACACAAACCUCCUGAGCAAGUUAAAGUUGAACCUAAUAUUGCUAUGGUUAAAGAUCUCUUGGUUGAUAAUACCGAUGGGCAUGUUAUUUACUUCUGCAAUGAGACUGCUAGAAUUGCUAAACCUAGUGCUAAAGAUAAACAUAGACCUAUGGUAGGCAUGCCUGUUAUUUCUGUUAAAAUAGGAGAUCAUUGUUAUCAUGGCUUGUGUGAUAUGGGUGCUAGUGCUAGUGCAAUACCUAUUGACUUAUACAAAGAA